Molecule: ribosomal RNA, 253 nt
Filed under: uncultured bacterium
Lineage: Bacteria
Description: partial 16S ribosomal RNA
Rfam family: Bacterial small subunit ribosomal RNA
Source: RNAcentral
UACGUAGGGGGCAAGCGUUGUCCGGAUUUAUUGGGCGUAAAGAGCGUGUAGGCGGCCAGGUAGGUCCGUUGUGAAAACUCGAGGCUCAACCUCGAGACGCCGAUGGAAACCAUCUGGCUAGAGUCCGGAAGAGGAGAGUGGAAUUCCUGGUGUAGCGGUGAAAUGCGCAGAUAUCAGGAGGAACACCGGUGGCGAAGGCGGGUCUCUGGGCCGAUACUGACGCUGAGGAGCGAAAGCGUGGGGAGCGAACAGG